RNA transcript from Nomascus leucogenys (northern white-cheeked gibbon), 7035 nucleotides. It is a transcript of the gene named mitogen-activated protein kinase kinase kinase 4, with no coding region annotated. NCBI's taxonomy places the organism in Eukaryota, Metazoa, Chordata, Mammalia, Primates, Hylobatidae. The record is from RefSeq and is a predicted model, not a curated record. The transcript has 28 exons.
AGAAGAGAUUUAUUUUAUUAUUUAACUUUUAAAGUCUCUAAUAUGCCUUCUAAGAAGGGUUCUGGCUCAGAAAAUUGCAGCAGAAAAUCGAGUGCAGAACUAGAAUUACAGAAACUUAAGAAAUACUUUUACUGAGCUUUCUUUACACAAGAAAAUGCACGGAAAUGAAUUAUACAUGGAUACCAAUUGGUGAUUUUUAAAAAUUUAUAAUUUUAAAAAUUAAGAUAAAAAUUAGUUUAUUUCUUUUGAAUACUUUUUUGUUUUAUCUCACCCUUUACUAAGCUGUUAGCUUGGUCUGUUGUGCUUACUGCUACAUCCCCAGCAUCUAGUACAGUUCCCGACACAUAUAUGCACUUAAUAAGUAUUUGUCGAAUGAAUAUUGUUGAGUAAAUAAGAUGAAGGUCAAUUCAGAAAUUCAGCACUAUCAGGCUACAUACCUACUACAGACUAUUAUAAAAAACUAGAAUGAAGCAGUUGCUUUUAACGACAGAGAAAUGUCAGUAACAUACUUUGAGCACAAUAUAGCUAAUUUCACAACUGGUCUUUAAAUAUAACAUACCUAUAAUCAAUUUAAUGUUUUUCUUUGUUACCAGAGUUGUUCAAAACGUGCGUUUUACCUAUCAAAGCUGAACCAAGUGAGGUUUAAGAAAUCUGCACAUUUGAAUGUACUUAAUUUUAAAAGAUUCUGGUUUUGGAUUAACUCUGGAUUUCACCCUAUGGGAAAUUUUGUAAAUAUUGUCAACUUAAAAAAAAAAAACUGUGAAGCCCCAGCGCCAAGAGUAAACGAUGCAUUGGAAUUUCAACAGGAUUUCUGUAACUCUGAAAUAAUCUUUAGCAUUUCUUCUUCCCCCCACCCCCUCAGUGUAGGAGCAUUCCAGUCCAAGUUUCUGGGAGAUCGCUAUCGAAUCUUAUGACGCUGGGGUGAGAAGUUUUGCCGGGUUGAAAUGAGGGGGUCACUUUAAUAGUCUGGAAUUCCGGAGACUUUAUUUCAAGUCUUAAAAAUUCGAGCCUGUACAAGGCUGCGCUGUCAAGAGACCAGAGUUGCGAGCGUCUGGGUGACGUCCGUCCUCCUGGAAGGUGGGAUCCGGGUGGCAGGUCCCUGGGCGGCGACUCCGUCCGGGCUCACAGCGCCGCGCCCGCCCCGCUCAUCGGCCCUACCCAGCGUCCCUCCCAGACCGACGACAACCUGGGAAGCCUCGAGCGCCCAGCCCGCCGCACAGCCCGGCUCCGCUCCACAGUCCCCCACUGCCACAGGUCGGGGCGAAACUUGGCGAGCUGGCGAGACCCGGCUCCAGGACCGAAUCGCGCCGACACUUGACGGCGCUCCCCGCCCCUCCCUGCCGCCGUCACCGCCCCCGUCCGGACGGAUUCCGGCGCCCGCCGCCGCAGCCACCGCCGCCGAUCUGGGAGGCUUGUCCCUCGCCGCCCACCGUAGCCCCGGCGCUCGGCCGGUCGCCGUUUCCAAGAUGGCCGCGGCGCGCACGGCUCCUGCGGUGGGGUAGAGGCGGAGGCGGAGCCGAGUCACUCCCGCACUUCGGGGCUCGGGUGCUCCGCGCCAGGCUGCAGCUUACUGCCCGCCGCGGCCAUGCGGGGCUCCGUGCACGGAUGAGAGAAGCCGCUGCCGCGCUGGUCCCUCCUCCCGCCUUUGCCGUCACGUCUGCCGCCGCCAUGGAGGAGCCGCCGCCACCGCCGCCGCCGCCACCACCACCGCCGACGGAACCCGAGACCGAGUCAGAACCCGAGUGCUGCUUGGCGGCGAGGCAAGAGAGCACACUGGGAGAUUCAGCUUGCAAGAGUCCUGAAUCUGAUCCAGAAGACUUCUCCGAUGAAACAAAUACAGAGAAUCUUUAUGGUACCUCUCCCCCCAGCACACCUCGACAGAUGAAACGCAUGUCAGCCAAACACCAGAGGAAUAAUGUGGGGAGGCCAGCCAGUCGGUCUAAUUUGAAAGAAAAAAUGAAUGCACCAAAUCAGCCUCCACAUAAAGACACUGGAAAAACAGUGGAGAAUGUGGAAGAAUACAGCUAUAAGCAGGAGAAAAAGAUCCGAGCAGCUCUUAGAACAACAGAGCGUGAUCAUAAAAAAAAUGUACAGUGCUCAUUCAUGUUAGACUCAGUGGGUGGAUCUUUGCCAAAAAAAUCAAUUCCAGAUGUGGAUCUCAAUAAGCCUUACCUCAGCCUUGGCUGUAGCAAUGCUAAGCUUCCAGUAUCUGUGCCCAUGCCUAUAGCCAGACCUGCACGCCAGACUUCUAGGACUGACUGUCCAGCAGAUCGUUUAAAGUUUUUUGAAACAUUACGACUUUUGCUAAAGCUUACCUCAGUCUCAAAGAAGAAAGACAGGGAGCAAAGAGGACAAGAAAAUACGUCUGGUUUCUGGCUUAACCGAUCUAACGAACUGAUCUGGUUAGAGCUACAAGCCUGGCAUGCAGGACGGACAAUUAACGACCAGGACUUCUUUUUAUAUACAGCCCGUCAAGCCAUCCCAGAUAUUAUCAAUGAAAUCCUUACUUUCAAAGUCAACUAUGGGAGCUUCGCCUUUGUUAGAGAUGGAGCUGGUUUUAAUGGUACUUCAGUAGAAGGGCAGUGCAAAGCCACUCCUGGAACAAAGAUUGUAGGUUACUCAACACAUCACGAGCAUCUCCAACGCCAGAGGGUCUCGUUUGAGCAGGUAAAACGGAUAAUGGAGCUGCUAGAGUACAUAGAAGCACUUUAUCCAUCAUUGCAGGCUCUUCAGAAGGACUAUGAAAAAUAUGCUGCAAAAGACUUCCAGGACAGGGUGCAGGCACUCUGUUUGUGGUUAAACAUCACAAAAGACUUAAAUCAGAAAUUAAGGAUUAUGGGCACUGUUUUGGGCAUCAAGAAUUUAUCAGACAUUGGCUGGCCAGUGUUUGAAAUCCCUUCCCCUCGACCAUCCAAAGGUAAUGAGCCGGAGUAUGAGGGUGAUGACACAGAAGGAGAAUUAAAGGAGUUGGAAAGUAGUACGGAUGAGAGUGAAGAAGAACAAAUCUCUGAUCCUAGGGUACCGGAAAUCAGACAGCCCAUAGAUAACAGCUUCGACAUCCAGUCGCAGGACUGCAUAUCCAAGAAGCUUGAGAGGCUCGAAUCUGAGGAUGAUUCUAUUGGCUGGGGAGCACCAGACUGGAGCACAGAAGCAGGCUUUAGUAGACAUUGUCUGACUUCUAUUUAUAGACCAUUUGUAGACAAAGCACUGAAGCAGAUGGGGUUAAGAAAGUUAAUUUUAAGACUUCACAAGCUAAUGGAUGGUUCCUUGCAAAGGGCACGUAUAGCAUUGGUAAAGAACGAUCGUCCAGUGGAGUUUUCUGAAUUUCCAGAUCCCAUGUGGGGUUCAGAUUAUGUGCAGUUGUCAAGAACACCGCCUUCAUCUGAGCAGAAAUGCAGUGCUGUGUCGUGGGAGGAGCUGAAGGCCAUGGAUUUACCUUCAUUCGAACCUGCCUUCCUAGUUCUCUGCCGAGUCCUUCUGAAUGUCAUACAUGAGUGUCUGAAGUUAAGAUUGGAGCAGAGACCUGCUGGAGAACCAUCUCUCUUGAGUAUUAAGCAGCUGGUGAGAGAGUGUAAGGAGGUGCUGAAGGGCGGCCUGCUGAUGAAGCAGUACUACCAGUUCAUGCUGCAGGAGGUUCUGGAGGACUUGGAGAAGCCUGACUGCAACAUUGACGCUUUUGAAGAGGAUCUGCAUAAAAUGCUUAUGGUGUAUUUUGAUUACAUGAGAAGCUGGAUCCAAAUGCUACAGCAAUUACCUCAAGCAUCCCAUAGUUUAAAAAAUCUGUUAGAAGAAGAAUGGAAUUUCACCAAAGAAAUAACUCAUUACAUACGGGGAGGAGAAGCACAGGCCGGGAAGCUUUUCUGCGACAUUGCAGGAAUGCUGCUGAAAUCUACAGGAAGUUUUUUAGAAUUUGGCUUGCAGGAGAGCUGUGCUGAAUUUUGGACUAGUGCGGAUGACAGCAGUGCUUCCGACGAAAUCAGGAGGUCUGUUAUAGAGAUCAGCCGAGCCCUGAAGGAGCUCUUCCAUGAAGCCAGAGAAAGGGCUUCCAAAGCACUUGGAUUUGCUAAAAUGUUGAGAAAGGACCUGGAAAUAGCAGCAGAAUUCAGGCUUUCAGCCCCAGUUAGAGACCUCCUGGAUGUUCUGAAAUCAAAACAGUAUGUCAAGAUACAAAUUCCUGGGUUAGAAAACUUGCAAGUGUUUGUUCCAGACACUCUUGCUGAGGAGAAGAGUAUUAUUUUGCAGUUACUCAAUGCAGCUGCAGGAAAGGACUGUUCAAAAGAUUCAGAUGACGUACUCAUCGAUGCCUAUCUGCUUCUGACCAAGCACGGUGAUCGAGCCCGUGAUUCAGAGGACAGCUGGGGCACCUGGGAGGCACAGCCUGUCAAAGUCGUGCCUCAGGUGGAGACUGUUGACACCCUGAGAAGCAUGCAGGUGGAUAAUCUUUUACUAGUUGUCAUGCAGUCUGCCCAUCUCACAAUUCAGAGAAAAGCUUUCCAGCAGUCCAUUGAGGGACUUAUGACUCUGUGCCAGGAGCAGACAUCCAGUCAGCCGGUCAUCGCCAAAGCUUUGCAGCAGCUGAAGAAUGACGCAUUGGAGCUAUGUAACAGAAUAAGCAAUGCCAUUGACCGCGUGGACCACAUGUUCACAUCAGAAUUUGAUGCUGAGGUUGAUGAAUCUGAAUCUGUCACCUUGCAACAGUACUACCGAGAAGCAAUGAUUCAGGGGUACAAUUUUGGAUUUGAGUAUCAUAAAGAAGUUGUUCGUUUGAUGUCUGGGGAGUUUAGACAGAAGAUAGGAGACAAAUAUAUAAGCUUUGCCCGGAAGUGGAUGAAUUAUGUCCUGACUAAAUGUGAGAGUGGUAGAGGUACAAGACCCAGGUGGGCGACUCAAGGAUUUGAUUUUCUACAAGCAAUCGAACCUGCCUUUAUUUCAGCUUUACCAGAAGAUGACUUCUUGAGUUUACAAGCCUUGAUGAAUGAAUGCAUUGGCCAUGUCAUAGGAAAACCACACAGUCCUGUUACAGGUUUGUACCUUGCCAUUCAUCGGAACAGCCCCCGUCCUAUGAAGGUACCUCGAUGCCAUAGUGACCCUCCUAACCCACACCUCAUUAUCCCCACUCCAGAGGGAUUCAGCACUCGGAGCGUGCCUUCCGACGCACGGAGCCACGGCAGCCCUGCUGCUGCUGCUGCUGCUGCUGCUGUUGCUGCCAGUCGGCCCAGCCCCUCUGGUGGCGACUCUGUGCUGCCCAAAUCCAUCAGCAGUGCCCAUGAUACCAGGGGUUCCAGCGUCCCUGAAAAUGAUCGAUUGGCUUCCAUAGCUGCUGAAUUGCAGUUUAGGUCCCUGAGUCGUCACUCAAGCCCCACGGAGGAGCGAGACGAACCAGCAUAUCCAAGAGGAGAUUCAAGUGGGUCCACAAGAAGAAGUUGGGAACUUCGGACACUAAUCAGCCAGAGUAAAGAUACUGCUUCUAAACUAGGACCCAUAGAAGCUAUCCAGAAGUCAGUCCGAUUGUUUGAAGAAAAGAGGUACCGAGAAAUGAGGAGAAAGAAUAUCAUUGGUCAAGUUUGUGAUACGCCUAAGUCCUAUGAUAAUGUUAUGCAUGUUGGCUUGAGGAAGGUGACCUUCAAGUGGCAAAGAGGAAACAAAAUUGGAGAAGGCCAAUAUGGGAAGGUGUACACCUGCAUCAGCGUCGACACCGGGGAGCUGAUGGCCAUGAAGGAGAUUCGAUUUCAACCUAAUGACCAUAAGACUAUCAAGGAAACUGCAGACGAAUUGAAAAUAUUCGAAGGCAUCAAACACCCCAAUCUGGUUCGGUAUUUUGGUGUGGAGCUCCAUAGAAGCACAGUAACUUUGCCUAAUUCUCAGGAAAUCUCCAUGAGUUACAUCAUUUCUGCCUUCUCUCUGAAACUAGAGGAGUUCUUCCUAAAAUGAAGAAAUGUACAUCUUCAUGGAGUACUGCGAUGAGGGGACUUUAGAAGAGGUGUCAAGGCUGGGACUUCAGGAACAUGUGAUUAGGCUGUAUUCAAAGCAGAUCACCAUUGCAAUCAAUGUCCUCCAUGAGCAUGGCAUAGUCCACCGUGACAUUAAAGGUGCCAAUAUCUUCCUUACCUCAUCUGGAUUAAUCAAACUGGGAGAUUUUGGAUGUUCAGUAAAGCUCAAAAACAAUGCCCAGACCAUGCCUGGUGAAGUGAACAGCACCCUGGGGACAGCAGCAUACAUGGCACCUGAAGUCAUCACUCGUGCCAAAGGAGAGGGCCAUGGGCGUGCUGCCGACAUCUGGAGUCUGGGGUGUGUUGUCAUAGAGAUGGUGACUGGCAAGAGGCCUUGGCACGAGUAUGAGCACAACUUUCAAAUUAUGUAUAAAGUGGGGAUGGGACAUAAGCCACCAAUCCCUGAAAGAUUAAGCCCUGAAGGAAAGGACUUCCUUUCUCACUGCCUUGAGAGUGACCCAAAGAUGAGAUGGACCGCCAGCCAGCUCCUCGACCAUUCGUUUGUCAAGGUUUGCACAGAUGAAGAAUGAAGCCCAGUAGAAUAUGGACUUGGAAAAUUCUCUUAAUCACUACUGUAUGUAAUAUUUACAUAAAGACUGUGCUGAGAAGCAGUAUAAGCCUUUUUAACCUUCCAAGACUGAAGACUGCACAGGUGACAAGCGUCACUUCUCCUGCUGCUCCUGUUUGUCUGAUGUGGCAAAAGGCCCUCUGGAGGGCUGGUGGCCACGAGGUUAAAGAAGCUGCAUGUUAAGUGCCAUUACUACUGUACACGGACCAUCGCCUCUCUCUCCUCCAUGUCUCGUGCGACUGAGAACCGUGACAUCAGCGUAGUGUUUUGACCUUUCUAGGUUCAAAUGAAGUUGUAGUGUUAUCAGGCGUCCCAUACCUUGUUUUUAAUCUCCUGUUUGUUGAGUGCACUGACUGUGAAACCUUUACCUUUUUUGUUGUUGUUGGCAAGCUGCAGGUUUGUAAUGCAAAAGGCUGAUUACUGAAAUUUAAGAAAAAGGUUCUUUUUUCAAUAAAUGGUUUAUUUUAGGAAAGCUCA